AUGAAGUCGAGCGGUAACAGAAAGUAGCUUGCUACUUUGCUGACGAGCGGCGGACGGGUGAGUAAUGCUUGGGAACAUGCCUUGAGGUGGGGGACAACAGUUGGAAACGACUGCUAAUACCGCAUAAUGUCUACGGACCAAAGGGGGCUUCGGCUCUCGCCUUUAGAUUGGCCCAAGUGGGAUUAGCUAGUUGGUGAGGUAAUGGCUCACCAAGGCAACGAUCCCUAGCUGGUUUGAGAGGAUGAUCAGCCACACUGGAACUGAGACACGGUCCAGACUCCUACGGGAGGCAGCAGUGGGGAAUAUUGCACAAUGGGCGAAAGCCUGAUGCAGCCAUGCCGCGUGUGUGAAGAAGGCCUUCGGGUUGUAAAGCACUUUCAGUCAGGAGGAAAGGGUGUGAGUUAAUACCUCACAUCUGUGACGUUACUGACAGAAGAAGCACCGGCUAACUCCGUGCCAGCAGCCGCGGUAAUACGGAGGGUGCGAGCGUUAAUCGGAAUUACUGGGCGUAAAGCGUACGCAGGCGGUUUGUUAAGCGAGAUGUGAAAGCCCCGGGCUCAACCUGGGAACUGCAUUUCGAACCGGCAAACUAGAGUGUGAUAGAGGGUGGUAGAAUUUCAGGUGUAGCGGUGAAAUGCGUAGAGAUCUGAAGGAAUACCGAUGGCGAAGGCAGCCACCUGGGUCAACACUGACGCUCAUGUACGAAAGCGUGGGGAGCAAACGGGAUUAGAUACCCCGGUAGUCCACGCCGUAAACGAUGUCUACUAGAAGCUCGGAACCUCGGUUCUGUUUUUCAAAGCUAACGCAUUAAGUAGACCGCCUGGGGAGUACGGCCGCAAGGUUAAAACUCAAAUGAAUUGACGGGGGCCCGCACAAGCGGUGGAGCAUGUGUUUAAUUCGAUGCAACGCGAAGAACCUUACCUACACUUGACAUACAGAGAACUUUCUAGAGAUAGAUUGUGCCUUCAGGAACUCUGAUACAGGUGCUGCAUGCUGUCGUCAGCUCGUGUGGGAGAUGUGGGUAAGUCCCGCACGAGCGCAACCCCUAUUCUUAGUGGCUAGCAGGUAAUGCUUAGAACUCUAAAGAGAAUUGCCGGGUAU
This 1101-nucleotide ribosomal RNA is filed under the name uncultured Pseudoalteromonas sp. RNAcentral's name for it is "bacterial SSU rRNA". It matches the Rfam family "Bacterial small subunit ribosomal RNA", at positions 55 to 1159 of the family's 1533-position model. The record is from RNAcentral. Lineage: Bacteria; Pseudomonadati; Pseudomonadota; Gammaproteobacteria; Alteromonadales; Pseudoalteromonadaceae.